RNAcentral lists this ribosomal RNA (253 nucleotides) under uncultured bacterium. RNAcentral's name for it is "partial 16S ribosomal RNA". It matches the Rfam family "Bacterial small subunit ribosomal RNA", at positions 524 to 776 of the family's 1533-position model. The record is from RNAcentral.
UACGUAGGCAGCGAGCGUUGUUCGGAGUUACUGGGCGUAAAGAGUGCGUAGGCGGUGUUCUAAGUCUGUUGUGAAAUCUCCCGGCUUAACUGGGAGGGUGCGGCGGAAACUGGAACGCUUGAGUACGGGAGAGGUAAGCGGAAUUCCUGGUGUAGCGGUGAAAUGCGUAGAUAUCAGGAGGAACACCUGCGGUGUAGACGGCUUACUGGACCGUAACUGACGCUGAGGCACGAAAGCGUGGGUAGCAAACAGG